This 179-nucleotide ribosomal RNA is filed under the name uncultured rumen bacterium. RNAcentral's name for it is "partial 16S ribosomal RNA". It matches the Rfam family "Bacterial small subunit ribosomal RNA", at positions 349 to 524 of the family's 1533-position model. The record is from RNAcentral.
CAGCAGUGAGGAAUAUUGGUCAAUGGGCGUAAGCCUGCANCCAGCCAAGUAGCGUGCAGGAUGACGGCCCUAUGGGUUGUAAACUGCUUUUAUGCGGGGAUAAAGUCACCUACGUGUAGGUGUUUGUAGGUACCGCAUGAAUAAGGACCGGCUAAUUCCGUGCCAGCAGCCGCGGUAAU